Molecule: small nucleolar RNA, 197 nt
Organism: Myodes glareolus (Bank vole)
Lineage: Eukaryota; Metazoa; Chordata; Mammalia; Rodentia; Cricetidae
Product: small nucleolar RNA SNORA73 family
Source: RefSeq, a predicted model, not a curated record
UCAACGUGGUUACCCCGGGAGGUCACUCUCCCCGGGAUCUGCCCUAGUGGGGUAAGAAAUAGGGCCCUGCCCUGUGAUGUACAGUCCCAUUCCACAACGUUGGAGAUGAAGCUGGGCUUUGAGUCUGCGCCUGCAUAUUCCGACGGCUUCUCAGAGUCCUCUGGACGAUGACUGAGGAGACAAACCGUGUCUUAAAU